Molecule: ribosomal RNA, 2931 nt
Filed under: Escherichia coli
Lineage: Bacteria; Pseudomonadati; Pseudomonadota; Gammaproteobacteria; Enterobacterales; Enterobacteriaceae
Description: 23S ribosomal RNA
Rfam family: Bacterial large subunit ribosomal RNA
Source: RNAcentral
GGGUUGUGAGGUUAAGCGACUAAGCGUACACGGUGGAUGCCCUGGCAGUCAGAGGCGAUGAAGGACGUGCUAAUCUGCGAUAAGCGUCGGUAAGGUGAUAUGAACCGUUAUAACCGGCGAUUUCCGAAUGGGGAAACCCAGUGUGUUUCGACACACUAUCAUUAACUGAAUCCAUAGGUUAAUGAGGCGAACCGGGGGAACUGAAACAUCUAAGUACCCCGAGGAAAAGAAAUCAACCGAGAUUCCCCCAGUAGCGGCGAGCGAACGGGGAGCAGCCCAGAGCCUGAAUCAGUAUGUGUGUUAGUGGAAGCGUCUGGAAAGGCGCGCGAUACAGGGUGACAGCCCCGUACACAAAAAUGCACAUGCUGUGAGCUCGAUGAGUAGGGCGGGACACGUGGUAUCCUGUCUGAAUAUGGGGGGACCAUCCUCCAAGGCUAAAUACUCCUGACUGACCGAUAGUGAACCAGUACCGUGAGGGAAAGGCGAAAAGAACCCCGGCGAGGGGAGUGAAAAAGAACCUGAAACCGUGUACGUACAAGCAGUGGGAGCACGCUUAGGCGUGUGACUGCGUACCUUUUGUAUAAUGGGUCAGCGACUUAUAUUCUGUAGCAAGGUUAACCGAAUAGGGGAGCCGAAGGGAAACCGAGUCUUAACUGGGCGUUAAGUUGCAGGGUAUAGACCCGAAACCCGGUGAUCUAGCCAUGGGCAGGUUGAAGGUUGGGUAACACUAACUGGAGGACCGAACCGACUAAUGUUGAAAAAUUAGCGGAUGACUUGUGGCUGGGGGUGAAAGGCCAAUCAAACCGGGAGAUAGCUGGUUCUCCCCGAAAGCUAUUUAGGUAGCGCCUCGUGAAUUCAUCUCCGGGGGUAGAGCACUGUUUCGGCAAGGGGGUCAUCCCGACUUACCAACCCGAUGCAAACUGCGAAUACCGGAGAAUGUUAUCACGGGAGACACACGGCGGGUGCUAACGUCCGUCGUGAAGAGGGAAACAACCCAGACCGCCAGCUAAGGUCCCAAAGUCAUGGUUAAGUGGGAAACGAUGUGGGAAGGCCCAGACAGCCAGGAUGUUGGCUUAGAAGCAGCCAUCAUUUAAAGAAAGCGUAAUAGCUCACUGGUCGAGUCGGCCUGCGCGGAAGAUGUAACGGGGCUAAACCAUGCACCGAAGCUGCGGCAGCGACGCUGAUGCGUUGUUGGGUAGGGGAGCGUUCUGUAAGCCUGCGAAGGUGUACUGUGAGGUAUGCUGGAGGUAUCAGAAGUGCGAAUGCUGACAUAAGUAACGAUAAAGCGGGUGAAAAGCCCGCUCGCCGGAAGACCAAGGGUUCCUGUCCAACGUUAAUCGGGGCAGGGUGAGUCGACCCCUAAGGCGAGGCCGAAAGGCGUAGUCGAUGGGAAACAGGUUAAUAUUCCUGUACUUGGUGUUACUGCGAAGGGGGGACGGAGAAGGCUAUGUUGGCCGGGCGACGGUUGUCCCGGUUUAAGCGUGUAGGCUGGUUUUCCAGGCAAAUCCGGAAAAUCAAGGCUGAGGCGUGAUGACGAGGCACUACGGUGCUGAAGCAACAAAUGCCCUGCUUCCAGGAAAAGCCUCUAAGCAUCAGGUAACAUCAAAUCGUACCCCAAACCGACACAGGUGGUCAGGUAGAGAAUACCAAGGCGCUUGAGAGAACUCGGGUGAAGGAACUAGGCAAAAUGGUGCCGUAACUUCGGGAGAAGGCACGCUGAUAUGUAGGUGAAGUCCCUCGCGGAUGGAGCUGAAAUCAGUCGAAGAUACCAGCUGGCUGCAACUGUUUAUUAAAAACACAGCACUGUGCAAACACGAAAGUGGACGUAUACGGUGUGACGCCUGCCCGGUGCCGGAAGGUUAAUUGAUGGGGUCAGCGCAAGCGAAGCUCUUGAUCGAAGCCCCGGUAAACGGCGGCCGUAACUAUAACGGUCCUAAGGUAGCGAAAUUCCUUGUCGGGUAAGUUCCGACCUGCACGAAUGGCGUAAUGAUGGCCAGGCUGUCUCCACCCGAGACUCAGUGAAAUUGAACUCGCUGUGAAGAUGCAGUGUACCCGCGGCAAGACGGAAAGACCCCGUGAACCUUUACUAUAGCUUGACACUGAACAUUGAGCCUUGAUGUGUAGGAUAGGUGGGAGGCUUUGAAGUGUGGACGCCAGUCUGCAUGGAGCCGACCUUGAAAUACCACCCUUUAAUGUUUGAUGUUCUAACGUGGACCCGUAAUCCGGGUUGCGGACAGUGUCUGGUGGGUAGUUUGACUGGGGCGGUCUCCUCCUAAAGAGUAACGGAGGAGCACGAAGGUUGGCUAAUCCUGGUCGGACAUCAGGAGGUUAGUGCAAUGGCAUAAGCCAGCUUGACUGCGAGCGUGACGGCGCGAGCAGGUGCGAAAGCAGGUCAUAGUGAUCCGGUGGUUCUGAAUGGAAGGGCCAUCGCUCAACGGAUAAAAGGUACUCCGGGGAUAACAGGCUGAUACCGCCCAAGAGUUCAUAUCGACGGCGGUGUUUGGCACCUCGAUGUCGGCUCAUCACAUCCUGGGGCUGAAGUAGGUCCCAAGGGUAUGGCUGUUCGCCAUUUAAAGUGGUACGCGAGCUGGGUUUAGAACGUCGUGAGACAGUUCGGUCCCUAUCUGCCGUGGGCGCUGGAGAACUGAGGGGGGCUGCUCCUAGUACGAGAGGACCGGAGUGGACGCAUCACUGGUGUUCGGGUUGUCAUGCCAAUGGCACUGCCCGGUAGCUAAAUGCGGAAGAGAUAAGUGCUGAAAGCAUCUAAGCACGAAACUUGCCCCGAGAUGAGUUCUCCCUGACUCCUUGAGAGUCCUGAAGGAACGUUGAAGACGACGACGUUGAUAGGCCGGGUGUGUAAGCGCAGCGAUGCGUUGAGCUAACCGGUACUAAUGAACCGUGAGGCUUAACCUUACAACGCCGAAGGUGUUU